AAAUAAUGACAAACUUAUUUUAUUUUUGAACACUGCAGGUAAUUAUCCGUAAAUAACCCAAACAUUUCAAUUUAAUCGGGUUUCCACAAAAAACAAAAACAAUGUUUACAGUCAACAUGACACUAAAAAAAAAAAAAAAAGAUUUGUUGUUGCGUAAACAGCAGCGAAACUAUGGAAGAUUCCAGUAUCGUUUUGUCUGCUUACACAGUUUUAAAUGUUUAAUUCAUGUCCAGAAUUUAACAAAGAAGUUAUGCCUUUCCAAUGAGUGUUUCAAGCCUCUAUUAUUCAGCCGAGUGUAACAUCUGCCAUGUUCAGCCCUUAUCCACUCACCACACACCAUCUGCUGGGUGCAGCUCUCUACCUUACUUUUAUCAAGGAAGCCGUUAGCUGGGGAUUCCCGAUUCCUCCCAGAGUCUUAUUCCUACUACUUAGGGAUGAUUAAUCCAAUAAAAAGAAGAAGAAGAAAAAAAAAAAACUCGCAGGUGAAAGGCCAGACAUGGACGAUGUUCCUCAAGGAAGACUUUUGUGAACGGAACAGAAUCUAGACAAGUUCCGCAAGAUGAUGUCCAAAUACGCAGCAGGCAUUCUUGUCCAGGCAGCGCAUGCGUGUUAUUGUUCCCACACAGAAGUGGACGCACACAUUAGAAGGGGACACCAAUUCACACCAACUUCCUGCAUGCGUACUUUCACACAAGCAAAGAGACAGAUGAGACCUACGCUUGCCUUUCAUCUAGGGUGAUGCACUAAAACUAAGAAGGUGAGAAACAACCCUGCAAAAAAAAAAAAAAAGCCACACUCACAGCGCUUACCAAGCUUCAUGCCCGGCUUCUCUGAGCGGACACUCGCACCAAACACGCCUGAAGCACAGCUCGACUGAGGACAGCCAACCUACGCCACAAUUGUUCAGCUUAUGUAAUAAUUGGCUCGUAACUGGCAAAGGACUGAGACUGAAAAGAUUCUUCCACUGUGGCCUCAGAGAAAAGGAGGAAGAUCCAACAUCCCUGGUGAUUCUGGCAAAUCUGUGGGAAGGCAAAUGAUGUUUCACAUAAGACCUUGUGCUCUUUUAGAGCAUGCUGCUGGGAUUGCGGCACCAAAGGGGUGUGGCUUAAAAAAAAACAUCAUAGCAUUUGUUAGAGCAAUGUGGGUAAGGCAUGUGUUGGGGGAUGUCCUCCACAGGACUGAACUAUGUGCUGCUCUUCAUACACUGUAACCUGCUCAAAUAAAUUCAGUGAUUAAAAACAUG
Molecule: long non-coding RNA, 1243 nt
Organism: Poecilia latipinna (sailfin molly)
Lineage: Eukaryota; Metazoa; Chordata; Actinopteri; Cyprinodontiformes; Poeciliidae
Exons: 2
Source: RefSeq, a predicted model, not a curated record